This 253-nucleotide ribosomal RNA is filed under the name uncultured bacterium. Its description in RNAcentral is "partial 16S ribosomal RNA". It matches the Rfam family "Bacterial small subunit ribosomal RNA", at positions 524 to 776 of the family's 1533-position model. The record is from RNAcentral.
UACGUAGGGUGCAAGCGUUGUCCGGAAUUAUUGGGCGUAAAGAGCUCGUAGGCGGUUUGUCGCGUCUGCUGUAAAAACUCGGGGCUUAACCCCGGGCCUGCAGUGGGUACGGGCAGACUAGAGUGCGGUAGGGGAGACUGGAAUUCCUGGUGUAGCGGUGAAAUGCGCAGAUAUCAGGAGGAACACCGGUGGCGAAGGCGGGUCUCUGGGCCGAUACUGACGCUGAGGAGCGAAAGCCAGGGGAGCAAACGGG